UACGAAGGGGGCGAGCGUUGUUCGGAUUUACUGGGCGUAAAGGGCGCGCAGGCGGCAGACCAAGUCAGGCGUGAAAGCCCCGGGCUUAACCUGGGAGGUGCGUCUGGGACUGGUAUGCUAGAGUUCGGGAGAGGAGAGUGGAAUUCCCAGUGUAGAGGUGAAAUGCGUAGAUAUCAGGAGGAACACCUGUGGUGUAGACAGCUUACUGGACCAUUUCUGACGCUGAGACACGAAAGCGUGGGUAGCAAACAGG
Molecule: ribosomal RNA, 253 nt
Filed under: uncultured bacterium
Lineage: Bacteria
Description: partial 16S ribosomal RNA
Rfam family: Bacterial small subunit ribosomal RNA
Source: RNAcentral